GCUGGCGGCGUGCUUACACAUGCAAGUCGAACGAACCUUCGGGUUAGUGGCGGACGGGUGAGUAACGCGUGAGAAUCUGCCCUCAGGAGGGGGACAACAGCUGGAAACGGCUGCUAAUACCCCAUAUGCCGCGAGGUGAAACGAAUUUCGCCUGAGGAUGAGCUCGCGUCUGAUUAGCUAGUUGGUGUAGGUAAUGGCUCACCAAGGCAUCGAUCAGUAGCUGGUCUGAGAGGAUGAUCAGCCACACUGGGACUGAGACACGGCCCAGACUCCUACGGGAGGCAGCAGUGGGGAAUUUUCCGCAAUGGGCGAAAGCCUGACGGAGCAACGCCGCGUGAGGGAUGAAGGCCUCUGGGCUGUAAACCUCUUUUAUCAAGGAAGAAGAUCUGACGGUACUUGAUGAAUAAGCCACGGCUAAUUCCGUGCCAGCAGCCGCGGUAAUACGGGAGUGGCAAGCGUUAUCCGGAAUUAUUGGGCGUAAAGCGUCCGCAGGCGGCCCUACAAGUCUGCUGUUNAAAAGUGGAGCUUAACUCCAUCAUGGCAGUGGAAACUGUUGGGCU
This 560-nucleotide ribosomal RNA is filed under the name uncultured bacterium. RNAcentral's name for it is "bacterial SSU rRNA". It matches the Rfam family "Bacterial small subunit ribosomal RNA", at positions 35 to 642 of the family's 1533-position model. The record is from RNAcentral.